GCUGCUUGUCGGCCUUUUGGCUGAGAUCAAGUGUAGUAUCUGUUCUGAUCAUUUUACUAUCUGAAGACAAUAUAUUACAUGCAUUUUGGGAGCAGGGAGAUGGGAGGAGCUUCCUCCAUCCACUGCGUGCAUUGACCUGGUAUCGCAGGAGCAGGAACGGGGCACCCUCU
Small nuclear RNA from Ailuropoda melanoleuca (giant panda), 170 nucleotides. Its record names the gene U2. It matches the Rfam family "U2 spliceosomal RNA". Rfam says of the family: U2 is a small nuclear RNA (snRNA) component of the spliceosome (involved in pre-mRNA splicing). Complementary binding between U2 snRNA (in an area lying towards the 5' end but 3' to hairpin I) and the branchpoint sequence (BPS) of the intron results the bulging out of an unpaired adenosine, on the BPS, which initiates a nucleophilic attack at the intronic 5' splice site, thus starting the first of two transesterification reactions that mediate splicing. NCBI's taxonomy places the organism in Eukaryota, Metazoa, Chordata, Mammalia, Carnivora, Ursidae. The record is from Ensembl.